UCCCACUGUCCAAAUCGGUGAAUCUUAGAUUUCACUCGUUGGUGAUCACUGUAAAAAGAAAACCCCAGUAAAAAAAGGGAAAGAAGAGGCGAAGAGCAAGGAGAGGAAAGAAACGAAAGAAAAAGAGAAGGGUGGAAACUAACUAAUUUCAACCUUAUAACGUAUGAACCAAAAUCUCGGCAGCAAGAUGAAGGAAAGUUCAGAAGAAGACUCACAUGUGGCAAGGGUGAAGAUGAAACAAGUAAAGUCAAGUCCAAUAUUCGGAAUGGGAGACAUUGGGAAAAUGCCAUAAAUGCAUGUGGGUGUCUUUUACUUGAAAGGGAGCGUCAGAAGUUGGACAAUGUUGAAUGUGAGCAGUUUUUGUAUAUUAGCACAUUUGCGCAGAAAUAAACUCUUGGGUGUGCGGUUUAUUGGUAAAUGGAGAAUUGGAGAUUUAAAGUGUGUAAGGAUGCUCCAUCCCAAUAUGCAAAUGGUGGAAGAUUGGUGCACAGAUAUUGCAAUCCCAACUGGAGUAAACCCACAUGUCCAUAAGCUCAUUCAGGUGCUUGUAUUCAAGAAAAUACAAAAUGUAAUUUAUCGACUUUCAUGCAAGGAGGAAUUGUAUCUGUUGCCAAAGCAACCAUUACAAAUUUAGAUCCUCAGAAGAUUGUGGAUGGUGUGCCACUUGGUUAUGGAUGGACAAAGGUCGUGAUCAAUGUUCCAAUUAUAAGUGAUGCACCACUAGUGCGCCCAUAUGGACGAUAAGGAAUAGUUGAAACCAUUGUUGGUGUUCCAAUUGCUUGGAGUUCAAUCCAUCCAGCCUCCACUUCCAAGUUCAAUGGUGCUGGAAAUAUGCUUGAGGACUAAUGAUCUGGAAAUUGUGAAGAAAUCACUUCCUUUACUGGCCAAGGAGCAUGGCUUUUGGAACUCAGGCAUACACAAGGUGACCAUUCAAGAUGCUCAGGCAUGCACUCACACUUUAAAUCAGUACUAUGCAAUGUGGAACAAGCCCAGACUAGAAAGUUCAACUAUUGGUAGUUCCCAGGUGAGCUCCAUUUGGGCUGGCGACUUAUAGUGUAUUGGAGAUUAUGCAUGGGGGAUGUGUGCAUGAUUACCUUAUAGCUAGCCUAGAUGGGCUCGUAAUUGGUGCCCAGGGGGAUUCUAGUAGAGGCACAUCUGGCAUUAGUGGCAACCUAUUUUGAUGCAGCGUCACACUAUUGGUUGUUGAAUUUUUUACCCCUAGCGCUAAGGAGCUGCCCUUACUGGAUGUAGGUGCAGAGGUCUCGGUUAGUAUAACUUAUGAGUUUAGUCUUAUUGAGUCCAAUCCUGGAACAGUCCAAUAGUAAUCAGGUUGCUGAGAUGGCCAACCCAAGUAAUGAGGAGAGGUUUGGUGAAAGUGAUUACCUUGAUCCUCUUUGCAAGCAUAGAGGGAGGAAGGGUUUCUGUAAAACUUGCAUCAAGUCACUAGAAUACCAAAUUCUUUGAAUGGAGGCCAGCCAGUAUGCAUCAACGAUCAAGCAGAAUGCAACGCUUUGCACUGAGGUCAAUAGGCUCUAUGCAAUGCUGACAUCCAAUGGCUUAGAUCCUGAUGGAGUCCCUUUGAGCAAGGGUGUGUUAGCAUUAUUCUCCUGAUAGCCAGAAGAUGAGUAUGCUUGUGCCAUUGUGCCCCCUGUUGUUUUACAUGGCAACACCGUUGCAGCAAACUCUCUUGAAUGGGUUACUUCAGAAGUGACAUCCCGAUCUUGUGAGAUUGUUGAGCCAUCUCCCUCCGGUGUGUCCAUGUACAAACAAAUAUCAACUCAGGCAAGGAGAGAGUGGUUCUACAGUAGCCUAGUGGUCUCCCCAUAUCAAGCUCUAGGGCAACAUGGGCUGGUUGCGGAGGAGUUUGUCGUUGCUGCUAGUUCAAAGAAAGUGCAACAGGGGAAGCCUCCCAAUGGACCAUCGAUCUAGUCUUCCUUUAAGAAGAGGAAGCUACUACACAAAGAUGAUUUGGUGGUCAUUAAGUCGUUCUUGCACAAUUCCAUGGGAGAGGAGGAAUAUGUAUGGAGUAAUGGUCAUGUGUGGUUGAGUGCACGAUGCAUGCAGCGCCUAUUCGACCUAGAUGCUUGGGUGUAUGACAAGGUGUUAGAUACAUACAGAUUCUUGUUGAUUACAAGACCCACCAACACUGUGAAAAUUUUCUACGUAUUGUCGAUGGCCCCACGGUCGUGACAAAGAUCUGUACAAAUGGCUUCGGCUCAAUCCGAUCAUGGCAUCAGAAAAGGUCUUCAUAUCAAUAAUGGAUGGUACGCACUAGCAAUUAUUGGUGGUUGAUAUCAGCCAACACAAACUCCUAUCUUACAAAAUCGGAUCGUUAAGAGCAUGUCGGUCGGUUUACUUAUGUAUCCAUAUUUGUUUUUUCAUUCUUUGUCAGUAGUCAAAACUAAUUGAUAAGUUGGCGCUAAUCCUUCCUAGGAUCUUUGGAUGGCCAUAUGAAUUUGUUGACUCAACAUUGGAGCAACUUGUGUACGUUGGAAUGGAACAAUGUUACUGGUAUUUUGCACUUGUAAGGUUAUCCUGUGUAUCCACAAAUACUGAUCGUUGCAAAUUUUGUACAGGGACAGCGAAUGUGGUUUCUUUGUAAUGAAGUACAUGAAAUGUCUUGCACGGAAUGUGUGCUUCGACUUUGAUCUAAAAAAGAUUAAUGUACUACACUGGAGAUUGGUGCCCAAAUAUUGCAACAUAGGAUCCCCUGAGUAGAGCCUCUUAUGAGUAAUGGGUAUGGUUGUUUUCUAAAUUAGCACCAUUUAUGAGAUGGUGUUCUUGUACCUGCAUCAUGUUAUUGUUUAUUUUUCUCCCGGAUGGCUAGGUUGUCUGAGGUUAUCGACUUGGAAGGUUGUAGGUUGCAUGGUUAUUUGUUUGAUCCUCUUUGUGUGUGCGUCGGCCAAGCAGCUACUGCAAUGAAAAUGUGUUGGCUAACAAGGUUGGGUGGAAGCAUGGCAGUAGGGCAUUGAGAUAACUAGAAUUAGUUGGCUAAUACGAUCGGGUGCAAGGGCAGGUCCUCACCAUCCAAAUUUCUUGUGCUUCCUAUGGGAGCCAGAUUUUUGCUUGGUUGUCUUGUGGGAUCCCAUAAUGUAGAGGCUUGAUUGGAGUGUAGUGUUACCGAUCGAGGGCUAUAUAUCUGUCAAAGGGGGAUGGGAGAGGAGGGGGGAUAGAGUAAAGUCAUCCUGAUUAGAAUCGUGUUGUUGUCCAUGCUGACCUACAACCAGCCUCCAUGAAUCCUGCAGAUGGUCUACUCUUUUAAAAAGAACAAGGGAAUUAGGUGUGAAUAAGAUGAAAGAUGUGAUUCUCUGUUUUCUAGGGUCUUGUUUGGCGUGUCUUUUUGUGUAGGCUAACGGCUUUUCAGAAGUCCAGCAGCCUGCGUUUUUGCCUUUUCCCGUUUGGUUGGGAAAAGGUCUAGCUACCGAAAAAACGUAGUCCUAAAAAUACACAGGAAGCCCAUUUCAAGCUAUUUUCAAGAAGCUCUAAAUGGAGCUUUUCGACUUAUUUCAUCUCAUUUUCGAGAGGAAAUAUGCAUGAAAGACGUACCUCCAACCAAACGGGUUGUGGGCUGCCAAGAUCUUUAUGUAAAAGUCCACUACGUCUUUUGGCUAUCAGAUCUCCCAGAAGAGUUUUCAAAAAAGACUUGCCAAACGGCUAAACUUGGUAACCAGGACGGUGGGUGGUGGACAGGUGUACUUCUAGCUAAGUACGGAAUACAUGAGUGGGGCUAGGGUGCAAUGGACUUGCCCUCCAUGGGUUGUUGUGUUGUUUGUUGGAGGAAACGGACUGCCAAGUCUGAACUUGACAUCCACAAAUGGUUGUGUUGUGUGGAAGCUGAGAAUAGGGUCAAGUGCUAUUGUGAUGUUUGGUGUGAUGGCAGAUCGAUAAGGGUUUGGACCCCUGGGUUGUCGAGUGUAGAUUAAGGUAGAGAUGGAUUGCAAGAUACAUAUAGAGUCUUUAAUGGUAUUGGUUAUCCAUAUCCAUUAUGUAAUGCAUGACCCAAAACCACCCAACCUAUUAAAAUUUCAUCUAUUGGGUUAUUUACUUGUAAAUGGCUCACAUUUGAAGACACAACCCAAAAUAAUACCAAAAAGCAUCAUACUUGAAAAGAUAAAAAAGAAUGGAAAAAAUUCUUUCAAAGGCAAACAAUUGAACUUUCAUAUUUUUCUCUCGACGAUGCCAAAGGAUGGAGAGAAAAGGGAAAUUCAACAUCUAAUUCUAUAGCUUCUUAUUGAGCUUGUUGGCUUUCUCUUUCUAUGUCUUUUAGAAAAUCAAACCAUACACAGAAUAAUAAUAAGCCCAAGGAAUAUAAGCAAUUGAACUAAUACUUGCAUUGCAAAAAUUAUGGGUAUAUUAAAUGUAAGUUUUUUAAAAUAUAUAAUGAACAAUAUUUUUUGAGCUAGAGAGGUUAAUAUUAAAAAUGCUUUAAUAGAUUUUGUAUUAUAAAAAUAUUCUUAUGUUUUUAAUAAGCAAAUACCAUCUAGAUUAAAGGGAAAUUCUAUAAAAUAGUUGUAAGUGUUGGGAUUGUGUCUUAUUUUACAUCCGUUGGAUUAAUUUUAAUCUAACAGUUGGUGUGGUCCCUAUUUAGGUUAAAGAGGUUUUACAUAUAAAAGCCUUCUUUUGUAUGUAGGGUUAAGGUUUUUUUUUUUGGAGAAAAGGUGUAAGAGAAAAAUAUAGAGUGCUCUUGGUGUGAGAGUGAGUUUUUUCUCUUGUUUUUGUUCUUCGGGUUAAGAGGAAAGGGAGAACGGGUGUACAAGGGUAAGGGUUGGUUUGGGCUGCAAGCCGCAAGGUACUUGUAUUGUUCUCAGUUUUCUUUCAUAGUGAAGAACAAAUUUCGUCUCUCCCAUGGACGUAGGCGGUAAGGCAGAACCACGUAAAUCUUUGUGUCUUUGUGGUGCUUGUCUUUAUUUGUCUUUGCUUGGAUUUUAUCAUUUUGCUUAUAUCAUAUUUUUCGUUGUUGCUAUUUCAAAUACCUUGUUAUUUUAUACUGUGGGUGGUUGUUGUAAGGCCCCAACAAAGUGGUGUCAGAGCUCCCAGGUUAGUGUUUAUAAAAUUGCUUGAGAGAUAAUGGUAGCAAAAGGUAUAGGUUCUCAGUUUCAGAUUGAAAGGUUUGAUGGCAAAGGCAGUUUUACCCUAUGGCAAAGAAGGGUAAAGGACAUCCUGGUUCAACAAGGCUUGGCUAGAGUGUUGAAAAGGAUGGGAAGCCAGAAGACAUAAAGGAUGCUGAUUGGGAGGACAUCGAGUCAAGAUGUGUUAGUAUGCUUCGAUUGCUCCUGACUGAUAAUGUUAUGGAGGAAGAUUCUACACUAGAAUUGUGGGACAAGCUGGAGAAGUUUUAUUUGGGAAAAAGCUUAACUACAAAGCUAUAUCUGAAGCGGCAGUUGUACGGGCUGAAGAUGGAAGAAGGUGGGAAUCUCUUUGAACACCUAAAUGUGUUCAAGGGUAUUUUGGAUCAACUAGGGAAAGUUGAUGUCAAGGUGGAGAAAGAAGACAAGGCCCUUUUGCUUCUUACCUCACUUCCUGAUUCGUAUGAAAACUUGGUGACAACAUUGCUGUAUGGGAAAGAUACAGUGAAGUUGGAAGAAGUUACUACAUCUCUUCUAUCCAAUGAGAUUAGGAGGAAGCCCAAAUAUGAGAACGGGCAAGACUCUACGUUGGUCAUGGUGGGAACGGAUCGAAAAGGAAGGUCUUCUGACAGGGGGUCUGAGAGCAACAGGUCUAGAUCCAAGGCUAAGGAAAAGGGUAAAGUACAAUGUUAUAUAUGCAAGGAAUUUGAUCACAUGAAGAGAGAUUGUCCUACAUGAAAAAGGAGUGGGGAUGAAUUCAGAAGCGUGGCAAUUGCAUCUAAUGAUGAUGGAGACGUUUUCACAGUCUCUGAAGGUAUGUGCAAAUUUUCUCCAAAUAAGUGGGUUUUAGAUUCUGGAUGUUCUAUGCAUAUUUGCUCUAGGAAGGAAUAUUUUGACACGUUCCAAGAGAGGAAGACCAGUGGUCUCCUUGGGUGAUGGAUAUACAUGUAACAUCACGGGUGUUGGGACAAUGAAAAUCAAAAUGUUUGAUGAAGUGGUUCGCACUUUGGGUGGUGUGGCGUAUGUCCCAAAAAUGUGCAAGAAUCUAAUAUCACUUAGCUGGUUAGACUCCAAGGGAUGCAAGGUUUUUGUUGCAGGUGGAGUUAUGAAAAUCAUACGUGGCGGUAUGAUCCUGAUAAAGGGAGAAAAUGCAAGGGUUUGUAUCAUCUGGUUGGGAGUACAGUGGUUUCCAAGACCUCGAUGGAGUGUUGGAAACAGAAUGCGCAAGGUAGUGUGGCCACACAGAGGGUCUCUUUUGCGGAUAGAGUGGAGACAAGUGCUACAAGUUUCCAAAGUAUAGAUGAUGGUGAGAGGAAGAUUCCUGUUGGAAGAGAGGAAAGAUCGAGGUCCCUCUCUGAAGUUAACUAGGAUUGUUAGCUUGGGAACAGUUACAUAGGUACAUUGGCCGUCUUGUUUGAAUCAGGUGGAGUCAGGACCAAAUGAUUUAGGUUAUUUGUAGCUGGUGAUGCUUUACAAGGCUAAUGGAGGUUUACGGUAUUUGCAAACAGGUGGAGGCACAAAUAGUAUAUCUCUAUGGUGGUUGAAAAAUAAGCAAAGGUGGAGAUUGUUGGGAUUGUCUUAUUUUACAAUCGUUGGAUUAAUUUUAAUCUAACGGUUGGUGUGGUCCCUCUUUAGGUUAAAAAGGUUUUACAUAUAAAAGCCUUCUUUUGUAUGUAGGAUUUAGGUGUUUUGGGGAGAAAAGGUGUAAGAGAAAAAUACAGAGUGCUCUUGGUGUGAAAGUGAGUUUUCUUCUCUUGUUUUUGUUCUUCGGGUUAAGAGGAAAUAGAGAACGGGUGUACAAGGAUAAGGGUUGGUUUGGGCUGCAAGCCGCAUGGUACUUGUAUUGUUCUCAGUUUUCUUUCAUAGUGAAGAACAGAUUUCAUCUCUCCCGUGGACGUAGGCAGGCCGAACCACGUAAAUCUUUGUGUCUUUGUAGUGCUUGUCUUUAUUUGUCUUUACUUGGAUUUUAUCAUUUUUGCUUAUAUCAGAUUUCUCGUUGUUGCUAUUUCAAAUACCUUGUUAUUUUAUAUUGUGGGUGGUUGUUGUGAGGCCCUAACAGUAAGGCCAGACAUGUUGUAUGGAGUAGGGUGUUAGGUAGUCAAAAAAAUAAAAUGUCCAAAAAGUGCGUGUGGCAUAAAUUGCAUGAUGAGAUGGGUGUGUGGAAAAACUAUAAAGGACAUGGUUAGAAAUGAGAGGAAUCUAGGAGUAGCUUGGAUAAGUGAUAAAAUGUAAGAAAAUAGACUAAGAUGGCUUGGUCAUGUGCAUAGAAUACCUUUGACAACAUCCAUAAAAAGUUAUUUGCUGCAAGUUGAAGGAGCUAGAAGGGAUAUGGGCAAACCAAAAAGGACAUGGGUUGAAGUAGUAAGAAAUGAUCUAAGCACUAGGUGUUUUU
Non-coding RNA from Nelumbo nucifera (sacred lotus), 7458 nucleotides. NCBI's taxonomy places the organism in Eukaryota, Viridiplantae, Streptophyta, Magnoliopsida, Proteales, Nelumbonaceae. The record is from RefSeq and is a predicted model, not a curated record.